RNAcentral lists this ribosomal RNA (425 nucleotides) under uncultured bacterium. RNAcentral describes it as "partial 16S ribosomal RNA". It matches the Rfam family "Bacterial small subunit ribosomal RNA", at positions 354 to 796 of the family's 1533-position model. The record is from RNAcentral.
GUGGGGAAUCUUGCGCAAUGGGCGAAAGCCUGACGCAGCCAUGCCGCGUGAAUGAUGAAGGUCUUAGGAUUGUAAAAUUCUUUCACCGGGGACGAUAAUGACGGUACCCGGAGAAGAAGCUCCGGCUAACUUCGUGCCAGCAGCCGCGGUAAUACGAAGGGGGCUAGCGUUGCUCGGAAUUACUGGGCGUAAAGGGCGCGUAGGCGGACAGCUUAGUCAGAGGUGAAAGCCCAGGGCUCAACCUUGGAAUUGCCUUUGAUACUGGCUAUCUUGAGUAUGGAAGAGGUAUGUGGAACUCCGAGUGUAGAGGUGAAAUUCGUAGAUAUUCGGAAGAACACCAGUGGCGAAGGCGACAUACUGGUCCAUUACUGACGCUGAGGCUCGAAAGCGUGGGGAGCAAACAGGAUUAGAUACCCCUGUAGUCC